AAGCGUAUGUGGGCAGACUUGACCGCGGGAUUCAGCUCGUCUUCUGGCGGGUGUACUUUCUCGUGGGCAGGCCAGCAUCGGUUUCGGGGGUAAGACAAAGGCGACAGGAAUGUGGCUCCCUUCGGGGCGUGUUAUAGCCUGUCGUGUAAUGUUACCACCUGGGACCGAGGACCGCGUUUUUACGAGGAUGCUGGCGUAAUGGCCUCAUACGG
Molecule: ribosomal RNA, 212 nt
Filed under: Scolecobasidium constrictum
Lineage: Eukaryota; Fungi; Ascomycota; Dothideomycetes; Venturiales; Sympoventuriaceae
Description: Ochroconis constricta partial large subunit ribosomal RNA
Source: RNAcentral